This 661-nucleotide unclassified non-coding RNA is filed under the name Hevea brasiliensis (rubber tree). The record is from RNAcentral. Lineage: Eukaryota; Viridiplantae; Streptophyta; Magnoliopsida; Malpighiales; Euphorbiaceae.
CUAACCUUUGAACUCUGCAUAACGCAUCUUUCAAUAUAUUUAAUUGGAUUACUUGCACUUUUGUCUUGUUUGCCCAAUAAUGUAAUUGUGUCUAGAAGGAUUAUGCUUAUAUAAUUAUUAUUGAUUCGCAAAUCAAAAUUAGUGCCACAAUGCUGCUUUGGAAGAUGCAGAGACAUUGAGGAGUUGAGUUGGUGGCAGUUUUAGAACUUAUAGAAUGGAUUAAUCCAAGAAGUCUUGGGCACAACCUCUGUUACCUUGUUGCUUAACCAGUUGUUCCUAUUGUUUAGGAAAUAAGCCAAUAAUUUACAUCAGGUUAAUUUGUUGGCAAUAUUGUGCUACGUAGCCAGUUUUUGCAAAUGAUAUUGGAUUUGGAUGGAACUUUUAACAUUUAGUUCCUGUUUAUUGCAGUGGCAGAUAUUUACUGGGAUGGAAGUUCCUGCUUUUAUAUUUUCCAUCAAGAGUCAAACUAUCUUGAUGGAUAUUAAUAUAUCAUUGAUCUUGUUUAUUUUUUCAUAUUUUCCCAUUGAUCUUUUUGUUCUUAAAGCAAGUGAAUCUUUUGCAUAUUUUAUUGUUUUAUAUAAUUCAUCUUGUCUAAUAAUAUGUUUGCUCUAUAAUAUUGCUAUUCCUUCAUGCUUGUGUCCUUUUCCAUUUUAUUUUUAAA